CCUACGGGAGGCAGCAGUGAGGAAUAUUGGUCAAUGGGCGCGAGCCUGAACCAGCCAAGUCGCGUGAGGGAAGACGGUCCUAUGGAUUGUAAACCUCUUUUGUCUGGGAGCAAAAGACGCCACGCGUAGCGUUCUGAGAGUACCCGAAGAAAAAGCAUCGACUAACUCCGUGCCAGCAGCCGCGGUAAUACGGAGGGUGCAAGCGUUACCCGGAAUCACUGGGCGUAAAGAGCGCGUAGGCGGGAUAGCAAGUCAGAUGUGAAAGCCUAUGGCUGAACCAUAGAACUGCAUUUGAAACUGGCAUUCUAGAGUAAGGGAGAGGUAGGUGGAAUUCUUGGUGUAGGGGUGAAAUGCGUAGAGAUCAAGAGGAAUACUCAUUGCGAAGGCGGCCUGCUGGAACAUAACUGACGCUGAUGCGCGAAAGCGUGGGGAGCAAACAGGAUUAGAUACCCCAGUAGUC
Molecule: ribosomal RNA, 460 nt
Filed under: uncultured bacterium
Lineage: Bacteria
Description: partial 16S ribosomal RNA
Rfam family: Bacterial small subunit ribosomal RNA
Source: RNAcentral